CAGCCGCCGCGGGAAUACGUAGGGUGCAAGCGUUAAUCGGAAUUACUGGGCGUAAAGCGUGCGCAGGCGGUUAUAUAAGACAGAUGUGAAAUCCCCGGGCUCAACCUGGGAACUGCAUUUGUGACUGUAUAGCUAGAGUACGGCAGAGGGGGAUGGAAUUCCGCGUGUAGCAGUGAAAUGCGUAGAUAUGCGGAGGAACACCGAUGGCGAAGGCAAUCCCCUGGGCCUGUACUGACGCUCAUGCACGAAAGCGUGGGGAGCAAACAGGAUUAGAUACCCCGGUAGUCCCUGUCUCUUAUAU
RNAcentral lists this ribosomal RNA (301 nucleotides) under uncultured bacterium. RNAcentral's name for it is "partial 16S ribosomal RNA". It matches the Rfam family "Bacterial small subunit ribosomal RNA", at positions 509 to 809 of the family's 1533-position model. The record is from RNAcentral.